Molecule: ribosomal RNA, 484 nt
Filed under: uncultured bacterium
Lineage: Bacteria
Description: partial 16S ribosomal RNA
Rfam family: Bacterial small subunit ribosomal RNA
Source: RNAcentral
AUUGAACGCUGGCGGCAGGCCUAACACAUGCCAGUCGAGCGGAUGAAGGGAGCUUGCUCCUGGAUUCAGCGGCGGACGGGUGAGUAAUGCCUAGGAAUCUGCCUGGUAGUGGGGGAUAACGUCCGGAAACGGGCGCCAAUACCGCAUACGUCCUGAGGGAGAAAGUGGGGGAUCUUCGGACCUCACGCUAUCAGAUGAGCCUAGGUCGGAUUAGCUAGUUGGUGGGGUAAAGGCCUACCAAGGCGACGAUCCGUAACUGGUCUGAGAGGAUGAUCAGUCACACUGGAACUGAGACACGGUCCAGACUCCUACGGGAGGCAGCAGUGGGGAAUAUUGGACAAUGGGCGAAAGCCUGAUCCAGCCAUGCCGCGUGUGUGAAGAAGGUCUUCGGAUUGUAAAGCACUUUAAGUUGGGAGGAAGGGCAGUAAGUUAAUACCUUGCUGUUUUGACGUUACCAACAGAAUAAGCACCGGCUAACUUCGUG